AUUACGGGAGGCAGCAGUGGGGAAUAUUGGACAAUGGGCCACAAGCCUGAUCCAGCAAUUCUGUGUGCACGAUGAAGGUCUUCGGAUUGUAAAGUGCUUUCAGUUGGGAAGAAGAAAGCGACGGUACCAACAGAAGAAGCGACGGCUAAAUACGUGCCAGCAGCCGCGGUAAUAAU
RNAcentral lists this ribosomal RNA (176 nucleotides) under uncultured bacterium. Its description in RNAcentral is "partial 16S ribosomal RNA". It matches the Rfam family "Bacterial small subunit ribosomal RNA", at positions 338 to 527 of the family's 1533-position model. The record is from RNAcentral.